UACAUGGGGUGCAAACGUUGCUCGGAAUUAUUGGGCGUAAAGCGCGCGUAGGCGGUUAUUUAAGUCGGAUGUGAAAGCCCUCGGCUUAACUGAGGAAGUGCACCCGAAACUGAGUAGCUAGAGUACGAAAGAGGGUCGCGGAAUUCCCGGUGUAGAGGUGAAAUUCGUAGAUAUCGGGAGGAACACCGGUGGCGAAGGCGGCGACCUGGGUCGAGACUGACGCUGAGGCGCGAAAGCGUGGGGAGCAAACAGG
RNAcentral lists this ribosomal RNA (253 nucleotides) under uncultured bacterium. RNAcentral describes it as "partial 16S ribosomal RNA". It matches the Rfam family "Bacterial small subunit ribosomal RNA", at positions 524 to 776 of the family's 1533-position model. The record is from RNAcentral.